GACGAACGCUGGCGGCGUGCUUAACACAUGCAAGUCGAACGGAAAGGCCCUGCUUUUGUGGGGUGCUCGAGUGGCGAACGGGUGAGUAACACGUGAGUAACCUGCCCUUGACUUUGGGAUAACUUCAGGAAACUGGGGCUAAUACCGGAUAGGAGCUCCUGCUGCAUGGUGGGGGUUGGAAAGUUUCGGCGGUUGGGGAUGGACUCGCGGCUUAUCAGCUUGUUGGUGGGGUAGUGGCUUACCAAGGCUUUGACGGGUAGCCGGCCUGAGAGGGUGACCGGCCACGUUGGGACUGGGAUGCGGCCCAGCCUCCUACGGGAGGCAGCAGUGGGGAAUAUUGCACAAUGGGCGGAAGCCUGAUGCAGCAACGCCGCGUGCGGGAUGACGGCCUUCGGGUUGUAAACCGCUUUCGCCUGUGACGAAGCGUGAGUGACGGUAAUGGGUAAAGAAGCACCGGCUAACUACGUG
RNAcentral lists this ribosomal RNA (468 nucleotides) under uncultured bacterium. Its description in RNAcentral is "partial 16S ribosomal RNA". It matches the Rfam family "Bacterial small subunit ribosomal RNA", at positions 28 to 507 of the family's 1533-position model. The record is from RNAcentral.